RNAcentral lists this ribosomal RNA (449 nucleotides) under uncultured bacterium. Its description in RNAcentral is "partial 16S ribosomal RNA". It matches the Rfam family "Bacterial small subunit ribosomal RNA", at positions 330 to 794 of the family's 1533-position model. The record is from RNAcentral.
UCCAGACUCCUACGGGAGGCAGCAGUGGGGGAUAUUGCACAAUGGGGGAAACCCUGAUGCAGCGACGCCGCGUGGGCGAAGAAGUAUUUCGGUAUGUAAAGCCCGAUCAGCAGGGAAGAAGAAAUGACGGUACCUGAGUAAGAAGCACCGGCUAAAUACGUGCCAGCAGCCGCGGUAAUACGUAUGGUGCAAGCGUUAUCCGGAUUUACUGAGUGUAAAGGGAGCGCAGGCGGCACGGCAAGCCUGAUGUGAAAGCCCGCGGCCCAACCGCGGGACUGCAUGGGGAACUACCGGGGUGGAGUGCCGGAGAGGUAGGCGGAAGUCCUAGUGGAGCGGUGAAAUGCGUAGAUAUCAGGAGGAGCACCGGUGGCGAAGGCGGCCUGCUGGACUGCAACUGACGUUGAGGCCCGAAAGCGUGGGGAGCAAACAGGAUUAGAUACCCCGGUAGA